RNAcentral lists this ribosomal RNA (394 nucleotides) under Clostridioides difficile. RNAcentral's name for it is "bacterial SSU rRNA". It matches the Rfam family "Bacterial small subunit ribosomal RNA", at positions 982 to 1375 of the family's 1533-position model. Lineage: Bacteria; Bacillati; Bacillota; Clostridia; Peptostreptococcales; Peptostreptococcaceae. The record is from RNAcentral.
UGACAUCCCAAUGACAUCUCCUUAAUCGGAGAGUUCCCUUCGGGGACAUUGGUGACAGGUGGUGCAUGGUUGUCGUCAGCUCGUGUCGUGAGAUGUUGGGUUAAGUCCCGCAACGAGCGCAACCCUUGUCUUUAGUUGCCAUCAUUAAGGUGGGCAGUUUAGGGAGACGGCCAGGGUUACCCUGGAGGAAGGGGGGGAGGACGUCAAAUCAUCAUGCCCCUUAUGCUUAGGGCUACACACGUGCGACAAUGGGUAGUACAGAGGGUGGCCAAGCCGUAAGGUGGAGCUAAUCCCUUAAAGCUACUCUCAGUUCGGAUUGUAGGCUGAAACUCGCCUACAUGAAGCUGGAGUUACUAGUAAUCGCAGAUCAGAAUGCUGCGGUGAAUGCGUUCCC